This 515-nucleotide ribosomal RNA is filed under the name uncultured bacterium. RNAcentral describes it as "partial 16S ribosomal RNA". It matches the Rfam family "Bacterial small subunit ribosomal RNA", at positions 28 to 523 of the family's 1533-position model. The record is from RNAcentral.
GAUGAACGCUGGCGGCGUGCCUAAUACAUGCAAGUCGAGCGAAUGGAUUAAGAGCUUGCUCUUAUGAAGUUAGCGGCGGACGGGUGAGUAACACGUGGGUAACCUGCCCAUAAGACUGGGAUAACUCCGGGAAACCGGGGCUAAUACCGGAUAACAUUUUGAACCGCAUGGUUCGAAAUUGAAAGGCGGCUUCGGCUGUCACUUAUGGAUGGACCCGCGUCGCAUUAGCUAGUUGGUGAGGUAACGGCUCACCAAGGCAACGAUGCGUAGCCGACCUGCGAGGGUGAGCGGCCACACUGGGACUGAGACACGGCCCCGACUCCUACGGGAGGCAGCAGUAGGGAAUCUUCCGCAAUGGACGAAAGUCUGACUGAGCAACGCCGCGUGAGUGAUGAAGGCUUUCGGGUCGUAAAACUCUGUUGUUAGGGAAGAACAAGUGCUAGUUGAAUAAGCUGGCACCUUGACGGUACCUAAUCAGAAAGCCACGGCUAACUACGUGCCAGCAGCCGCGGUAA